Long non-coding RNA from Daphnia magna, 1151 nucleotides. RefSeq lists it as uncharacterized. The transcript has 2 exons. The record is from RefSeq and is a predicted model, not a curated record. Lineage: Eukaryota; Metazoa; Arthropoda; Branchiopoda; Diplostraca; Daphniidae.
UCCUACCACAGACUACGAAGUAAAGACCGCUAUCAUCGCCAUAAGGCUGAGAGAAAUCAAGUAGGCGAUGCUCGGUCUUACCGCUAGGGGCGCGGGAGUAUACUUUCUGAAAAUUUUUCUACUUUUUCUAAUAUUAGUACUGAAUACGUGCUUCACACACACGUAUUGGCGGGAAUUGUAUUUAACUUUACGUCAUCAACUGUACACCUUAAUUUUCUAGAUCCCCUUCCUGUAUCCCGUGAAUUAUUUCAAAAUUUUAUUCUAAUUCUUUGGUAUGGUAAUAAAAUUAUACAUUUACCCCCUCUUUUCCCUAUUUUUCAGAUGUAUAGAGCCCAUCGUGAAACCCUGCAUUUCAGACAAUAUUUCGUGUUUUUCUAACAGAAGUCAGAAGCUGUCAGAACACAGAAACAGAAGCGGGAAUUGUGAAGUGCUGCCCAUCCUAACCCAAAGAUAAGGAGCUAUUUAAAAACGGAAACAGAAGAUUCCCAGGAAGGAAGUUUCAAAAUUACUUGCUUCAGACAGAUGCAGGCGACUGGAUCUAGGAGCGAUCAUUUGGAAAUGGAGUACUAGCACUACAGGACAAUUAGUGCCCACUCUAUGGAACUUUAAAGCAGCAGUGAUAUAAAACAAGAGAUACCAAUAACUGCCUAUACCCAAACCAUACACGUUACAUUUCAUUGAUAUUAUUGGACAAACAAGUAAUGUGACCGCAAAGACAAGAUAGUUCGCCAUGUGCUCUUCUUAACUCUGUGAGUAGUGCUAACAACACACUAUUAUGUUAUUCAUAAUCUUGUUCAACUAUCAUAAAAUAAAGAUGCUCAAAUGACAACAGCUUAUUAGUAGCUGGACAGGUAAGUAAUUUUUCAGUCAAAUAAUAUGUCUCAUUAAUGAUUUAAUUAUACCAUAUCUACACAAAGCAUGGCCAACUCCUGUCAAUGCCACACAAUUGUUGUAUCCCAACAAUACUUCCAUUCUGCAAAAACCUAAAUGUCAGAACAUAUUCAUAGCAGUGGGGUGGCAGUCAACGUCUCAGGCAAAGUGUACAGUUUAUAUAUUUCUUGGUUAUUAACACCUUACAAUUUUACUUGCAUUUCACAAAAUAUGUAACAUGGUAUCAAUGUAAGGUUACAAUAUAAUCAUCGUCUUGCCAA